RNAcentral lists this ribosomal RNA (443 nucleotides) under uncultured bacterium. Its description in RNAcentral is "partial 16S ribosomal RNA". It matches the Rfam family "Bacterial small subunit ribosomal RNA", at positions 338 to 795 of the family's 1533-position model. The record is from RNAcentral.
CCUACGGGAGGCAGCAGUGGGGAAUAUUGGACAAUGGGGGGAACCCUGAUCCAGCGACGCCGCGUGAGUGAAGAAGUCUUUCGGUAUGUAAAGCUCUAUCAGCAGGGAAGAAAGAAAUGACGGUACCUGACUACGAAGCCCCGGCUACAUACGUGCCAGCAGCCGCGGUAAUACGUAGGGGGCAAGCGUUAUCCGGAUUUACUGGGUGUAAAGGGAGCGUAGACGGCGAUGCAAGUCUGAAGUGAAAGGCGGGGGCCCAACCCCUGGACUGCUUUGGAAACUGUAUGGCUGGAGUGCAGGAGAGGUAAGUGGAAUGCCUAGUGUAGCGGUGAAAUGCGUAGAUAUUAGGAGGAACACCAGUGGCGAAGGCGGCUUACUGGACUGUAACUGACGUUGAGGCUCGAAAGCGUGGGGAGCAAACAGGAUUGGAUACCCGAGUAGUC